CGAACCGUGCGAACGUUAUUCGGAAUCAUUGGGCUUAAAGGGCGCGUAGGCGGCGGUGUAAGUUGGAAGUGAAAUCCCAUCGGCUCAACCGUGGAAUUGCUCCCAGUACUGCAUCGCUCGAGGGGGAUAGGGGUUUGCGGAACUACCGGUGGAGCGGUGAAAUGUGUUGAUAUCGGUGGGAACGCCAGUGGCGAAAGCGGCAAACUUGACCCUUCCUGACGCUGAGUGCGCGAAAGCUAGGGGAGCAAACGGGAUUAGAUACCCCGGUAGUCCUAGCCUUAAACGUUGGGUACUGAGUAGAAAGGGGACCGAUACCCCCUUCUGCUGGAGCGAAAGUGUUAAGUACCCCGCCUGGGGAGUAUGGUCGCAAGGCUG
RNAcentral lists this ribosomal RNA (375 nucleotides) under uncultured organism. RNAcentral describes it as "bacterial SSU rRNA". It matches the Rfam family "Bacterial small subunit ribosomal RNA", at positions 526 to 896 of the family's 1533-position model. The record is from RNAcentral.